UACGGGGGGGGCAAGCGUUGUUUGGAAUUACUGGGCGUAAAGGGCUCGUAGGCGGCCAACUAAGUCAGACGUGAAAUCCCUCGGCUUAACCGGGGAACUGCGUCUGAUACUGGAUGGCUUGAGUUUGGGAGAGGGAUGCGGAAUUCCAGGUGUAGCGGUGAAAUGCGUAGAUAUCUGGAGGAACACCGGUGGCGAAGGCGGCAUCCUGGACCAACACUGACGCUGAGUGAGCGAAAGCCAGGGGAGCAAACGGG
RNAcentral lists this ribosomal RNA (254 nucleotides) under uncultured bacterium. RNAcentral describes it as "partial 16S ribosomal RNA". It matches the Rfam family "Bacterial small subunit ribosomal RNA", at positions 524 to 776 of the family's 1533-position model. The record is from RNAcentral.